Long non-coding RNA from Alnus glutinosa, 490 nucleotides. RefSeq lists it as uncharacterized. The record is from RefSeq and is a predicted model, not a curated record. The transcript is spliced from 4 exons. NCBI's taxonomy places the organism in Eukaryota, Viridiplantae, Streptophyta, Magnoliopsida, Fagales, Betulaceae.
AAGAAAAAGAAAAGAAAAAAGAAAGCAAAAGAGGGAAUCUUUUUGUAGAAAAAUUGUGAUCUACGAAGAUCUAACGGUCUGAUUUUUGAUCCGUCUUCAGAAACGUGUUCCUUGCACUUGAAUCUACGUUUUCACUGAUCAUUUUGAGGUAAUGGGCUUGUUGGAACUUGUUUAAGGCUAUCCAAGCCAUGGGUUUUGGUUUGCUGAAUUUUUGGUAAUGUGACGUAUUGCAAGGUGGUGUCUAGGAGACCUAGUGCUUAAUAUCCAUGCAGCCAAGGGAUUCCACUUUCAGAGUGAUGUCAAGAUUAGAAGAAAAUUCAAGUUCCUUGUCAGCCGUCCGGACGCCCAUCUGUCUACUGCUCCAUCCGUCCGGACGAUGUGUCAUCCCGUCCGGACGCCAAACAGUCCAGCAUCAUCCGUCCGGACGACGUGCUUCUUCCGUCCGGACACUUCACUGUAUCAAGAAGUUUCUGUUCCAGCUAGCUCCGUC